This 466-nucleotide ribosomal RNA is filed under the name uncultured bacterium. RNAcentral's name for it is "partial 16S ribosomal RNA". It matches the Rfam family "Bacterial small subunit ribosomal RNA", at positions 28 to 507 of the family's 1533-position model. The record is from RNAcentral.
GAUGAACGCUGGCGGCGUGCUUAACACAUGCAAGUCGAACGGAAAGGCCCAAGCUUGCUUGGGUACUCGAGUGGCGAACGGGUGAGUAACACGUGGGUGAUCUGCCCUGCACUUCGGGAUAAGCCUGGGAAACUGGGUCUAAUACCGGAUAGGACCACAUUUUGGAUGGUGUGGUGGAAAGUUUUUCGGUGUGGGAUGAGCUCGCGGCCUAUCAGCUUGUUGGUGGGGUAAUGGCCUACCAAGGCGUCGACGGGUAGCCGGCCUGAGAGGGUGUACGGCCACAUUGGGACUGGGAUACGGCCCAGACUCCUACGGGAGGCAGCAGUGGGGAAUAUUGCACAAUGGGCGCAAGCCUGAUGCAGCGACGCCGCGUGGGGGAUGACGGGCUUCGGGUUGUAAACUCCUUUCGCUAGGGACGAAGCGUUAUGUGACGGUACCUGGAGAAGAAGCACCGGCUAACUACGUG